UACGUAGGUGGCAAGCGUUGUCCGGAAUUAUUGGGCGUAAAGCGCGCGCAGGCGGUCCUUUAAGUCUGAUGUGAAAGCCCACGGCUCAACCGUGGAGGGUCAUUGGAAACUGGGGGACUUGAGUACAGAAGAGAAGAGUGGAAUUCCACGUGUAGCGGUGAAAUGCGUAGAGAUGUGGAGGAACACCAGUGGCGAAGGCGACUCUUUGGUCUGUAACUGACGCUGAGGCGCGAAAACGUGGGGAGCAAACAGG
RNAcentral lists this ribosomal RNA (253 nucleotides) under uncultured bacterium. RNAcentral's name for it is "partial 16S ribosomal RNA". It matches the Rfam family "Bacterial small subunit ribosomal RNA", at positions 524 to 776 of the family's 1533-position model. The record is from RNAcentral.